Molecule: non-coding RNA, 189 nt
Filed under: Erysiphe necator (grape powdery mildew)
Lineage: Eukaryota; Fungi; Ascomycota; Leotiomycetes; Helotiales; Erysiphaceae
Description: Eukaryotic large subunit ribosomal RNA
Rfam family: Eukaryotic large subunit ribosomal RNA
Source: Rfam by way of RNAcentral
ACUCUAGUUCGUAUAAUGAAAAGACAUGCAGGGUGUAGAAUAGGUGGGAGCGUCAGCGCCAGUGAAAUACCACUACCUUUAUGGUUUUUGACUUAUUCAAUGAAGCGGAACCGAGUGUCACGGCCAAACUUCUGGCAUUAAGGUCCUUUGCGGGCUGAUCCGGGUUGAGGACAUUGUCAGGUGGGGAGU